UACGAAGGGGGGCUAGCGUUGCUCGGAAUCACUGGGCGUAAAGGGUGCGUAGGCGGACAGUUAAGUCAGAGGUGAAAGCCCAGGGCUCAACCCCUGGAAUUGCCUUUGAUACUGGCUGUCUUGAGUAUGGGAGAGGUGAGUGGAACUCCGAGUGUAGAGGUGAAAUUCGUAGAUAUUCGGAAGAACACCAGUGGCGAAGGCGACUCAGCUAGGCCCAUUACCUUGG
Molecule: ribosomal RNA, 226 nt
Filed under: uncultured bacterium
Lineage: Bacteria
Description: partial 16S ribosomal RNA
Rfam family: Bacterial small subunit ribosomal RNA
Source: RNAcentral